Molecule: ribosomal RNA, 242 nt
Filed under: uncultured bacterium
Lineage: Bacteria
Description: partial 16S ribosomal RNA
Rfam family: Bacterial small subunit ribosomal RNA
Source: RNAcentral
UGGCGAGUGGCGGACGGGUGAGUAAUGUCUGGGAAACUGCCUGAUGAGGGGGAUAACUACUGGAAACGGUAGCUAAUACCGCAUAAUGUCGCAAGACCAAAGUGGGGGGACCUUCGGGCCUCACACCAUCGGAUGUGCCCAGAUGGGAUUAGCUAGCAGGCAGGGUAAUGGCCUACCUGGGCGACGAUCCCUAGCUGGUCUGAGAGGAUGACCAGCCACACUGGAACUGAGACACGGUCCAG